This is a long non-coding RNA of Equus caballus (horse), 2962 nucleotides long. RefSeq lists it as uncharacterized. The record is from RefSeq and is a predicted model, not a curated record. Lineage: Eukaryota; Metazoa; Chordata; Mammalia; Perissodactyla; Equidae.
UUUUCCUCCCUGUCGUCUUUCUUUUUCCCAGCUCGAAAAUAAACUGAAAUCUUUUGCAAGAGGGUGCAUGUGAGGAACAGAGUGAGGGGGUGUUCAGAAAGAGCACCGGCGGGAGUCUGGACAACAGCCAGACUGUCGACUCCAGGGGCGAACAGUGGGCCCGCACACCAAAUACUCUCUCGUCCUCGGCAAUUGAAAUCUCUCUCGGCGUGGCCGCCAGGGCAAGGAAAGGUGGGUAGCGGGGGUUGGAGGAAGUCUGCCCGCCCGCUUUGAUUUCCCGAGAUUCGGCGGCGGAGAAACCAGAAGUUAGAUGGGCAGCAGAGCCAGUGGCGGCGCGGCUCGGCUCGGCUCCAAGCUGUGAGCCGGGAUCCCCGCCCUUCCCGGCCACGUGAUGCCCGGGGACGCGCAGAUUGGGGCAAGAGCGGGGGUCACAUGUUUCCUCUGUUUCACACUCAGCCCCCCCCCCCCAUUCUUACUCUCCCCUGCCACCCUCUCUCCUCCUCUCCCUCUGCCCCCCGCCACUAGUUUUUUGGGCAUCUCCACCCCUCCAUCAAUUGUCAAUGUUCCUCGACCGCAAUCAAUCAGUUAUUUGUCAGCUCUUGUCAAUCCGCCGGUGAUUUAUGUCAGCUUUUGUUGCUGAUUACAAGGCGGGUGCGACUUGAAGGGAAAAAGAGGGAGAGAGAGACAGAGAGGAAGGAAGAGACCGAGGGGGAACCGGAGGAGGGGGAAAGAGGAGCAGCCUCCUGGGAUGCGGGGGGGAGGGGGGGCGGUGCUUUAAGAAAAAGAAUGAAAGAAGGGAAAGGCGCUCAGUGCCAGAAAAAUGAACAGUGAGAGUAAAGUGCGCAGGUGUGCCCAGGGCGCAGAGAUGGGUGUGCAGACCUGGGGUGUGCGUCUGGCCCCUUUCGGUGUCGGAGAGAGAGAUACAUCCUUCCAUCUCUGGGGACUUCAGUUCGUUGGGGCGGCGGAUUCCGGAGCGGCUGCUGGUACCCGAGGCGGGCAGCGGCGGCGUCUUACAUGGGAUAUCCGGCUCACCCCGCCAUAGUCCCUCGGGGGCGUAUAGCAUGCGGAAGUCCGGCUGCCAGCCUGCUGCGGACCCCACCCUCCAAACUGGCCUGACCUCAAACUCGGAGUCUUCUUUCUAAGAGCCAACCUAACCUUAAGUCCUAGAGCUGUAACGUCCCCGACCUCGCUGAUGGCGUUGCCUGGGCUUUGCAAAUAUGCGGAGGAGACUCACGGGGCAUCUGGGCCUCAGCACUGAAAUCGACGGGAUUUCUCUGGCUGGUGUUUGAGCUGCCUGUAUCCGAAUAAAUCCAGCUCUCAAGCGUCCGGCAGGAAACGGCUCCGGGUUUGCGCGUACGCAGACGCAUCGGCCAGCGCGGGACGCGUUGUGGCUCCUCCUGUUCGUGCCGCGGCAGGUCCGGCCUCUGAGGGAGGCUAGCCCAGCAGCGCCUUUAGGCCGAACGGCCGCUCGCGGCCCGGCAGUGCCUGGCAGCUCCCAUCUCCGGCGGUAGUCGGCAACCGCUGGGCCAAGUCCGCCCGCGGCGAAAACUGAAAGCAAAUUCCGCGGCAGAUGAAGCCCGAACUUUCUUGGACGCAAGUUUGCAGUAGAGAUUCGGUGGCGGCUUUGGGAGGACAGCGCGCUAGUGUGUGCGCGCGCAAGGUGGGGCGGUGGGCGAAGAGAGCACCCGGCGGCCGAGCCUGGCCCGAGGCGAAACACUAGGGAAGGCGCCUUCCCUUCUUUAUUUCUCGCCAACUCCUCGGCUCCUGUCCGUAAAAAUAGUUUCCAAGGUGCCUCGGACGCCCAGAAUGUGUUUAUGGGGAUCGCACCAGAGAAAGGAAGGCUUUGUAAAAGUUGUAGAAAGAGCUUUGCGCAGCGUUCGCCCAGCGGGGUUCAAGAAAGCUUGGGACUAGCUCGCCUUCCCUGGGGAGGAAUAGCCAGAAAUUGGCCUGGGGAGCCCCCUGCCUAGUCCUGUCCCCUCACCUCCAACCCACGAGUAUAUAAGCUCUCGCUGCCUGCGCUGCAAACUUCUCGGCGCGGCGCCGCGGUCAGCGGGCGAGGACAGGACGCAGAGCGGGCCGGCAAGGCCGCUCCUCGGAGCUCUCAGCCCCAGCCCUGAGUGAGGCUUGCGCGGAGGUGAGAGGACGAGUGUGGUUCCCGCUCCCACUUGGCUGCCGAAACCGUCAUCGCCGACCUCCCAACUCCCGGAGCCGGCGCUUCCCCUGGGAGCGGCGGUCUUGGGGGGCUGGCGAGGGCGCAAAUUGCGCGUGCGAAGCGAAGCGCACGAGGGCGGGGGCGGCCGCGGGUCUCUCCGCGGGGCCUGUCGCCGAGCCGGCCGCGGCGGGUGAGUGAUGAGGGCAGAGAAGGGCGCCCAUAAAUCGUGAGUGUCAGGGCGAAAAACUCUCUUUAUUGUCUGUGUGAUGGAUGGGCCCGGGGACGAGACACCAAAUACUUCGUAUCGCCUUUAAAUGGGAACACAUUUUCCGCGGCCAUAAUUCAUGUUUUUUAAAUAGAAAGUUUGAAAUGUUGCCUAUAUUUCACCGGCCCUGACAUAUUUAUGAAUCGCUCCCUGCAUGCAAAUAUCAUUAUUUAAAGCGCCGGGGAGAGCUGGGGGAGGGGAGGAGGCGCAGCCCCCGGGGCGUGGGGGUGGUGAACCGGGGAAAUGCGGAUGGAAGGGGGGCCAUCUCCCUAAAGUGCGGACGACGAGGCGCGGGGAAGCCGUAUCCGGAAACUGAGCUCACUGGGGGCUCCCCUCCUGCCGCCGGACCCCCGCACCGCAGCUCCGGGAAGUUUGCGCGGCUUGGGGCCGAGGACAGUCCCCCGCCCCCUGCUAGGAGACCAAGGGGCAUUUUGCGUCCUUCUCCGAGGCUCUGAUCCGAGCCUAAACCGCCUUUUCCAAGAAGGAAGUAAAAAAAAAAGAAUUUAACAAACGCAAAUAAUAACAAUCCAACAUGUUUCGUGUUC